AGUGGAUGGGGAGCAACCUAGUUGUGCGUGUGUAAAGGUAGUGCCAAGAAAAGCGAUGAUCAUGUUGAAAAUCAAUUCCCGGUACCCGAAACCGACACAGGUGGGCAAGUAGAGAAUACUAAGGGGCGCGAGGUAACUCUCUCCAAGGAACUCGGCAAAAUGACCCCGUAACUUAGGGAGAAGGGGUGCCACCGAGAGGUGGUCGCAGUGAAGAGGCCCAGGCGACUGUUUAGCAAAAACAUAGGUCUCUGCAAACUCGAAAGAGGAGGUAUAGGGGCUGACGCCUGCCCAGUGCCGGAAGGUUAAAGAAGUUGGUCAGUUUUAGGAUGAAGCUAGCGACUGAAGCCCCGGUGAACGGCGGCCGUAACUAUAACGGUCCUAAGGUAGCGAAAUUCCUUGUCGGGUAGGUUCCGACCCGCACGAAAGGCGUAACGAUCUGGGCGCUGUCUCGGAGAGAGGCUCGGCGAAAUAGGAUUGUCUGUGAAGAUACGGACUACCUGCAUUUGGACAGAAAGACCCUAUGAAGCUUUACUAUAGCUUGGAAUUGUGUUCGGGCUUCCUGUGCGCAGGAUAGGUGGGAGGCGUAGAAGGUAUUCUUGUGGGGAUACUGGAGCCAACGGUGAGAUACCACUCUCAGGAGGCUAGAAUUCUAACUUAAUUAAGGACAGUUUCAGGUGGGUAGUUUGACUGGGGCGGUCGCCUCCAAAAAGGUAACGGAGGCGUACAAAGGUUCCCUCAGACUGGUUGGAAAUCAGUCGAAGAGUGCAAAGGCAGAAGGGAGCUUGACUGCGAGAAGUACAGUUCGAGCAGGGUGGAAACACGGUCUUAGUGACCCGACGGUGCUGUGUGGAAGGGCCGUCGCUCAACGGAUAAAAGUUACUCUAGGAUAACAGGCUGAUCUCCCCCAAGAGUUCACAUCGACGGGGAGGUUUGGCACCUCGAUGUCGGCUCAUCGCAACCUGGGGCGGAAGUACGUCCCAAGGGUUGGGCUGUUCGCCCAUUAAAGCGGUACGUGAGCUGGGUUCAGAACGUCGUGAGACAGUUCGGUCCAUAUCCGAUGUAGGCGUGAGAAUAUUGAGAGGAGCCUUCCUUAGUACGAGAGGACCGGGAAGGACGCACCGCUGGUGUACCUGUUAUGAUGCCAAUUGUAAACGCAGGGUAGCCAAGUGCGGAGAGGAUAACCGCUGAAAGCAUCUAAGUGGGAAGCCCACCUCAAGAUGAGUAUUCUGGUGUAAGGUCACGGGAAGACGACCCGUAAAUAGGCACGAGGUGGAAGUGCAGAGAUGUAUGAAGCCGAAGUGUACUAAUAGACCGUCGGCUUGACC
This 1325-nucleotide ribosomal RNA is filed under the name metagenome. RNAcentral describes it as "bacterial LSU rRNA". It matches the Rfam family "Bacterial large subunit ribosomal RNA", at positions 1561 to 2925 of the family's 2925-position model. The record is from RNAcentral.